AGGCAUCACCCGGCCACAGCGGUGCCGAGCGCGCCGUCCGCACCCGCAUGACGACCGGUCGAGACGUGUUGUUGGCG
Molecule: small RNA, 77 nt
Filed under: Xanthomonas citri
Lineage: Bacteria; Pseudomonadati; Pseudomonadota; Gammaproteobacteria; Lysobacterales; Lysobacteraceae
Also listed under: 16 other names
Description: sX9 sRNA
Rfam family: Xanthomonas sRNA sX9
Source: RNAcentral